UAAUACGGAGGGUGCGAGCGUUACCCGGAUUUACUGGGUGUAAAGGGCGUGUAGGCGGUCUUUCAAGUCCGAUGCUAAAGACCGGGGCUCAACCCCGGGGGUGCGUUGGAUACUGUGAGGCUAGACGGUCGGAGAGGGUAGCGGAAUUUCCGGAGUAGCGGUGAAAUGCGCAGAUACCGGAAGGAACGCCAAUAGCGAAAGCAGCUACCUGGACGAUAUGUGACGCUGAGGCGCGAAAGCGUGGGGAGCAAACCGGAUUAGAUACCCGGGUAGUCCACGCCCUAAACGAUGAGUGCUGGGUGUCCGACAGCUGUUGGGUGCCGAAGCCAACGCGUUAAGCACUCCACCUGGGAAGUACGGUCGCAAGACUG
RNAcentral lists this ribosomal RNA (371 nucleotides) under uncultured bacterium. Its description in RNAcentral is "bacterial SSU rRNA". It matches the Rfam family "Bacterial small subunit ribosomal RNA", at positions 521 to 896 of the family's 1533-position model. The record is from RNAcentral.